CACGUGAGCAACCUGCCCCUGACUCCGGGAUAAGCGGUGGAAACGCCGUCUAAUACCGGAUACGACCCAUGGUCUCCUGACCGUGGGUGGAAAGUUUUUCGGUCGGGGAUGGGCUCGCGGCCUAUCAGCUUGUUGGUGGGGUAACAGCCUACCAAGGCGAUUACGGGUAGCCGGCCUGAGAGGGCGACCGGCCACACUGGGACUGAGACACGGCCCAGACUCNUACGGGAGGCAGCAGUGGGGAAUAUUGCGCAAUGGGCGAAAGCCUGACGCAGCGACGCCGCGUGGGGGAUGACGGCCUUCGGGUUGUAAACCUCUUUUACCACCAACGCAGGCUCCCAGUUCUCUGGGGGUUGACGGUAGGUGGGGAAUAAGGACCGGCUAACUACGUGCCAGCAGCCGCGGUAAUACGUAGGGUCCGAGCGUUGUCCGGAAUUAUUGGGCGUAAAGAGCUCGUAGGCGGCGUGUCGCGUCUGCUGUGAAAGACCGGGGCUUAACCCCGGUUCUGCAGUGGAUACGGGCAUGCUAGAGGUAGGUAGGGGAGACUGGAAUUCCUGGUGUAGCGGUGAAAUGCGCAGAUAUCAGGAGGAACACCGGUGGCGAAGGCGGGUCUCUGGGCCUUACCUGACGCUGAGGAGCGAAAGCAUGGGGAGCGAACAGGAUUAGAUACCCUGGUAGUCCAUGCCGUAAACGUUGGGCGCUAGGUGUGGGGACUUUCCACGGUUUCCGCGCCGUAGCUAACGCAUUAAGCGCCCCGCCUGGGGAGUACGGCCGCAAGGNUAAAACUCAAAGGAAUUGACGGGGGCCCGCACAAG
RNAcentral lists this ribosomal RNA (815 nucleotides) under Nocardiopsis sp. HM9. Its description in RNAcentral is "bacterial SSU rRNA". It matches the Rfam family "Bacterial small subunit ribosomal RNA", at positions 114 to 929 of the family's 1533-position model. The record is from RNAcentral. Lineage: Bacteria; Bacillati; Actinomycetota; Actinomycetes; Streptosporangiales; Nocardiopsidaceae.